This 38-nucleotide ribosomal RNA is filed under the name Phlegmacium tauri. Its description in RNAcentral is "Cortinarius tauri partial 18S ribosomal RNA". The record is from RNAcentral. Lineage: Eukaryota; Fungi; Basidiomycota; Agaricomycetes; Agaricales; Cortinariaceae.
GGGGUUUCGCUUUCGUAGUGACCUGCGGAGGAUCAUUA